RNAcentral lists this ribosomal RNA (496 nucleotides) under uncultured bacterium. Its description in RNAcentral is "partial 16S ribosomal RNA". It matches the Rfam family "Bacterial small subunit ribosomal RNA", at positions 28 to 507 of the family's 1533-position model. The record is from RNAcentral.
GACGAACGCUGGCGGCGUGCCUAAUACAUGCAAGUUGAGCGAUGAAGCUUGGUGCUUGCACCAAUUUGGAGAGCAGCGAACGGGUGAGUAACGCGUGGGGAAUCUGCCUUUGAGCGGGGGACAACAUUUGGAAACGAAUGCUAAUACCGCAUAACAACUUUAAACAUAAGUUUUAAGUUUGAAAGAUGCAAUUGCAUCACUCAAAGAUGAUCCCGCGUUGUAUUAGCUAGUUGGUGAGGUAAAGGCUCACCAAGGCGAGGAUACAUAGCCGACCUGAGAGGGGGAUAGCCCACAUUGGAAGGUGAACGGGCCCCAAGCUCCUGAGGAAGGCGCCAGACGGGAAUGGUCGGCAGUGGAGGAAAGUCUGACGGAACAAGCCGACGGGGGUGAGAAAGGUGUCGGAUCGUAAAACUCUGUUGGUAGGGAAGAACGUUGGUGAGAGUGGAAAGCUCAUCAAGUGACGGUAACUACCCAGAAAGGGACGGCUAACUACGUG